GAUUUACAAUGUUGUGCCAAUUUCUGCUAUACAGCAAAGUGACUCAGUCAUAUAUAUAUACACAUAUAUAUGUAUAUACACACAUUAUUUUUCUCAUAUAAUCUUCCAUCAUGUUCUAUCCCGGGAAAUUGGAUAUAGUUCCCUGUGCUAUACAGUAGGACCUUGCUGUUUAUCCAUUCUAAAUGUAGCAGUUUGCAUCUACUAACCCCAAACUCCCCAUCCAUUCCACUUCAUUUCCCCACCCCCUUGGCUACCACAAGUCUGUUCUCUAUGUCUGUGAGUCUGUUUACUAUUUUUUAAAGAUAAAAGGAGGAUCUCUAAAAGAUAAUAUAGACAUCAAAGUACUAAGUGUCCAUAAUGUGAAGGCUCAUUGUGUUUCUGACAUUCUGUUUUACUAUGUCUGAGUUUGAAGAACAAUGAUGAAAAGCUUUCCUCUCUCUGGGUACAACACUCAAAAGGGCAGUAAUUACCACAAGGGAAGAAAGACAUGCUUGUUUCUGGCAUUUUGCCAUUAUUAAUUUGUCCCAGGACAAUUUUGUACCAAGUGCUUUCUAUUCUUUUUUUAACACGGAUAACCACAUUUGCACAGUUAGCAAUUGUUUUUGCAAUGUUAACAAGCAAGAAGAAUCUGGUCCAAUAUGGAGUUCCAUUUUUACAGGUUUCUAUUUAUUUAAAUUGUCAAAGGACACAGUUGGUAAAGAGACAAACCCUUUAAAAAUCAUUAUUUUUCACACCAAAAUCAUGUUAUAUAUAUAUAUAUUAGUGAUUUAUUAUAUUUUUCUCAACAAUCUCAUGUGUUGCUACUUGGGUAAUUUGUUAGCAUGAUUUUUUCUUCUCCUACAUGUAAGCACCUUCAUGAAAAAUAAUUCCUUUCUGUUGACAACAAAUAUGAUGAUGUGGCUGUCAUGUGAAUCAGUGAUAUACUAGAAAGUUUUGAAGUUUAGACAAAAUGUUUCUCCAAAUUAUUACAAAUACUUCAGGAAAAAAUGCUUUUUAAACUUUGUCCAAAGCUCUUUGUAAGUAGCCAUGUUUCCCCCAAUCAAGUUGUUAUGGGAAGAAUCAGGACAAAGCGUAAGAGACUUUCUAUAACUGUUAAAUAUUUAAUUAUAUUGAACAUGGCAUUUAAGUAUGGAUUUUGAUGACUCUGAGAGAGCCAUUAAAAGACUGGAAUCACAGCUAUAAAUUCUAUCAAACUAUUGACCAAUAGGUCCACCAACAUAUCAUAGGCUUACAGUAUUCUCUGGAGGAAUCGUUUCCAGAAAAAAGGUAAACUUAAGCAGGUAUCUCAAAUGCAUAAAAACUUCGAUUUAGUAAACAAUUUACUACAUACACUCAUAAAGAACGUAUUACAUCAAAUACAAAUUUACAUGUUGCUUGUGAUGGUUUUUUUGUGUGUGUUAACUUGGCUAGGCUAUAGUCCUCAGCUACUGAAUCAAAUAGUAAUCUAGAUGUUAUUGUGAAAGUAUUGUGUAGAUGUGAUUGAAGUCCAUGACUUUGAGUGGGGAGAUUAUGGGUUAGCCUGCUUUAACUAGUUGAAAGGGAGAGCUGAAAAUCCCUUGAGAAAAGAAAUUUCCCCUUUGGAAAGAAAACACAGCAAGCACCUGAAAGUCCUAGUCUGCCCUUCCCAGCAGCAAGCCUUAGAGAUUUCAGACUUACCAAGCUAGUCUACAUAAUUGGGUGAGCCAGUUCUUUGCAUUAAAUAUCUUAAUACAUGUCUGCUGGGUUUGCUUUUCUGGCUGAAGCUAGUAACAACAAGACUAUAGGAAGGCAUUCAAGCUAAGUAUAGAAUCAACAGGAUUUAACAUACUUUUAGCUCUCAGCUGUAGAAUCAUGGGACAUUUUUCCUUCAAUGAUUAUAUUAUUUGUAUGUUAUUUGAAGUAUGGUAGAAGAAUAGGUUAUUGCAUUUUGUGAUGGGAAGAAAAAAUAUCACAACUAUCUAUUGGUUGCAUGACACAGGAGACAGCUAAUAAUAUUCAACUUCAUUUUGAGCAUGUUUCAGAUCAAAUGGUAUCAUUCUUAUUAAACAAGAUCUUGGAGUAACUAAAAUAAUUGUGGAAAUAGUUAAGGACAUGGAGAUACUCCUUGACAGAGCAAGAAUUCAAAAUGGUUUAGAAAAAAAUUGUAGAAGUAAUGUUAAGAAGAGUAAGAUGGUUUGGGCAGAGGAAAACUGAACUGGAUAAUAACUGUUGUGUGGGACAUGAUUUUACAAGCAUGUACCAUGAGCAGCAAAUUUAAGUAAAAAGGAUGAGGGGAGGGCAGUGAGAUGGUUGAAAGAGAAACAUAAAAUCAAUUAAGUUGCUUUGUUAUGCAACAAAAUGCUCUCUGAAGAGUGGUCUUCAAACUUUUCUUGAAAAAGGUGUUAAAAAUGCAGUUUCCUGUGCCCCACCUUCAGAUUCUUAUUCAGCAUACAUGUAGUAGGCACAGAAAUCCUGUUUUUUAAGAGAAUGCCAUUAAUACUUCUGAUGCAACUAGUACAACGAUUAUACUUGAAGAUUCAUUGCUUCAAACUCUGCAAUUAUUUUUGAGUUGGAAAGAAAAGUGUACAAACUGCACUUAACUUUUAAUAUCUUUUCAUAGGAUUAUUAUUACUCUUA
This 2595-nucleotide long non-coding RNA is filed under the name Sus scrofa (pig). RNAcentral's name for it is "lncRNA (ENSSSCG00035072405.1)". The record is from RNAcentral. Lineage: Eukaryota; Metazoa; Chordata; Mammalia; Artiodactyla; Suidae.